UGAGGAAUAUUGGUCAAUGGGCGAGAGCCUGAACCAGCCAAGUAGCGUGCAGGAUGACGGCCCUAUGGGUUGUAAACUGCUUUUAUAUGGGAAUAAAGUGAGGGACGUGUCCCUUAUUGCAUGUACCAUAUGAAUAAGGACCGGCUAAUUCCGUGCCAGCAGCCGCGGUAAUACGGAAGGUCCAGGCGUUAUCCGGAUUUAUUGGGUUUAAAGGGAGCGUAGGCUGUUUGUUAAGCGUGUUGUGAAAUGUAAGAGCUCAACUUUUAGAUUGCAGCGCGAACUGGCAGACUUGAGUGCGCACAACGUAGGCGGAAUUCAUGGUGUAGCGGUGAAAUGCUUAGAUAUCAUGACGAACUCCGAUUGCGAAGGCAGCUUACGGGAGCGCAACUGACGCUAAAGCUCGAAGGUGCGGGUAUCGAACAG
This 423-nucleotide ribosomal RNA is filed under the name Verrucomicrobiota bacterium. Its description in RNAcentral is "Verrucomicrobia bacterium partial 16S ribosomal RNA". It matches the Rfam family "Bacterial small subunit ribosomal RNA", at positions 355 to 775 of the family's 1533-position model. Lineage: Bacteria; Pseudomonadati; Verrucomicrobiota. The record is from RNAcentral.